This 272-nucleotide signal recognition particle RNA is filed under the name Phascolarctos cinereus (koala). Its description in RNAcentral is "Metazoan signal recognition particle RNA (ENSPCIG00000025230.2)". It matches the Rfam family "Metazoan signal recognition particle RNA". Rfam says of the family: The signal recognition particle (SRP) is a universally conserved ribonucleoprotein. It is involved in the co-translational targeting of proteins to membranes. The eukaryotic SRP consists of a 300-nucleotide 7S RNA and six proteins: SRPs 72, 68, 54, 19, 14, and 9. The record is from RNAcentral. Lineage: Eukaryota; Metazoa; Chordata; Mammalia; Diprotodontia; Phascolarctidae.
UCUGGGCAUGAUGGCAUAUGCCUAUAACUCCUGCUACCUGGGUGGUGGAUCUCUUGGGCUCAGGAAUUCUGAGCUGUAAUGGGCUAAUUCAGUUGGGGGUCCAGUCUGGCAUCAGUAGGGUGAGCCCCUGGGAGCAGGGGGUCACCAGGUUGCCUAAGGAGGGGCAAACCAGCCUAGGUCAGAAACGAAACAAGUCAAAGUUCCCAUACCAAUCAGAGGAAGAUCCAGCCUGCUAAUGGUCCCUGCAUUUCCAUCCUAGGAUAGAAGACCCA